This 435-nucleotide ribosomal RNA is filed under the name uncultured bacterium. RNAcentral's name for it is "partial 16S ribosomal RNA". It matches the Rfam family "Bacterial small subunit ribosomal RNA", at positions 29 to 507 of the family's 1533-position model. The record is from RNAcentral.
AGCGAACGCUGGCGGCAGGCUUAACACAUGCAAGUCGAGCGGGCAUCUUCGGAUGUCAGCGGCAGACGGGUGAGUAACACGUGGGAACGUACCCUUCGGUUCGGAACAACUCUGGGAAACUGGAGCUAAUACCGGAUACGCCCUUAUGGGGAAAGGUUUACUGCCGAAGGAUCGGCCCGCGUCUGAUUAGCUAGUUGGUUGGGUAACGGCCUACCAAGGCGACGAUCAGUAGCUGGUCUGAGAGGAUGAUCAGCCACACUGGGACUGAGACACGGCCCAGACUCCUACGGGAGGAAGCAGUGGGGAAUAUUGGAAAAUGGGCGCAAGCCUGAUCCAGCCAUGCCGCGUGAGUGAUGAAGGCCUUAGGGUUGUAAAGCUCUUUUGUCCGGGACGAUAAUGACGGUACCGGAAGAAUAAGCCCCGGCUAACUUCGUG